RNAcentral lists this ribosomal RNA (447 nucleotides) under uncultured bacterium. Its description in RNAcentral is "partial 16S ribosomal RNA". It matches the Rfam family "Bacterial small subunit ribosomal RNA", at positions 29 to 523 of the family's 1533-position model. The record is from RNAcentral.
AACGAACGCUGGCGGCAGGCCUAACACAUGCAAGUCGAGCGCCCAGCAAUGGGAGCGGCGCACGGGUGCGUAACGCGUGGGAACGUACCUCUUGGUACGGAAUAACACAGAGAAAUUUGUGCUAAUACCGUAUAAUAUCUCCGGAUCAAAGAUUUAUCGCCAAGAGAUCGGCCCGCGUUGGAUUAGCUAGUUGGUGAGGUAACGGCUCACCAAGGCUACGAUCCAUAGCUGGUCUGAGAGGAUGAUUAGCCACACUGGGACUGAGACACGGCCCAGACUCCUACGGGAGGCAGCAGUGAGGAAUAUUGGACAAUGGGCGAAAGCCUGAUCCAGCCAUGCCGCGUGAAUGAAGAAGGCCUUAGGGUUGUAAAGUUCUUUCAGUGGUGAAGAUAAUGACGGUAGCCACAGAAGAAGCUCCGGCUAAAUUCGUGCCAGCAGCCGCAGUAA